Molecule: ribosomal RNA, 403 nt
Filed under: bacterium
Lineage: Bacteria
Description: partial 16S ribosomal RNA
Rfam family: Bacterial small subunit ribosomal RNA
Source: RNAcentral
UGGGGAAUAUUGCACAAUGGGGGAAACCCUGAUGCAGCGACGCCGCGUGAACGAAGAAGGUAUUCGUAUCGUAAAGUUCUGUCCUAUGGGAAGAUAAUGACAGUACCAUAGAAGAAAGCUCCGCCUAAAUACGUGCCAGCAGCCGCGGUAAUACGUAUGGAGCGAGCGUUGUCCGGAUUUAUUGGGCGUAAAGGGUACGCAGGCGGUUUAAUAAGUCGAAUGUUAAAGAUCGGGGCUCAACCCCGUAAAGCAUUGGAAACUGAUAAACUUGAGUAGUGGAGAGGAAAGUGGAAUUCCUAGUGUAGUGGUGAAAUACGUAGAUAUUAGGAGGAAUACCAGUAGCGAAGGCGACUUUCUGGACACAAACUGACGCUGAGGUACGAAAGCGUGGGGAGCAAACAGG